Clostridium perfringens str. 13 is the source of this 2904-nucleotide ribosomal RNA. It matches the Rfam family "Bacterial large subunit ribosomal RNA". Lineage: Bacteria; Bacillati; Bacillota; Clostridia; Eubacteriales; Clostridiaceae. The record is from Rfam.
GGUCAAGCUACAAAGGGCGCAUGGUGAAUGCCUUGGCAUCAGGAGCCGAUGAAGGACGUGAUAAGCUGCGAUAAGCUUCGGGUAGGCGCACAUAGCCUGAGAUCCGAAGAUCUCCGAAUGAGGAAACUCACAUGGGAAACCCCAUGUAUCAUUAAGUGAAUACAUAGCUUAAUGAAGGUAACCCAGGGAACUGAAACAUCUAAGUACCUGGAGGAAGAGAAAGAAAAAUCGAUUUUCUUAGUAGCGGCGAGCGAAAGGGAAAGAGCCCAAACCGGAAACUUGUUUCCGGGGUUGAGGACAUAACAUAAAGAGAAGUAAUGGCUAAUUGAAGAGAACUGGAAAGUUCCACCGUAGAAGGUAAUAGUCCUGUAAAUGAAAGCUAGUAUAAUCGAGUUAUGAUCCAGAGUACCACGAGACACGUGAAACCUUGUGGGAAGCAGGGAGGACCACCUCCCAAGGCUAAAUACUACCUGAUGACCGAUAGUGAAGCAGUACCGUGAGGGAAAGGUGAAAAGAACCCCGGGAGGGGAGUGAAAUAGAACCUGAAACCGUGUGCCUACAACCGCUCAGAGCCCCUUAUGAGGGUGAUGAGGUGCUUUUUGUAGAACGAGCCAACGAGUUACGGUAUGUAGCAAGGUUAAGUACUUAAGGUACGGAGCCGAAGGGAAACCGAGUCUGAAUAGGGCGACUAGUUGCAUGCCGUAGACCCGAAACCGGGUGACCUAUCCAUGGCCAGGUUGAAGCGAGGGUAAAACCUCGUGGAGGACCGAACCACGUUGCUGUUGAAAAAGCAUGGGAUGAGCUGUGGAUAGCGGAGAAAUUCCAAUCGAACCCGGAGAUAGCUGGUUCUCUCCGAAAUAGCUUUAGGGCUAGCGUCGAGUAUGAGUAGUGGAGGUAGAGCACUGAAUGGGCUAGGGGGCAUAGCGCUUACCGAACCUUAUCAAACUCCGAAUGCCACAUACUUUGAGCUCGGCAGUCAGACUACGAAUGAUAAGAUCCGUGGUCAAAAGGGAAACAGCCCAGAUCGUCAGCUAAGGUCCCAAAGUGUAAGUUAAGUGGGAAAGGAUGUGAGAUUUCUAAGACAACUAGGAUGUUGGCUUAGAAGCAGCCAUUCAUUAAAAGAGUGCGUAAUAGCUCACUAGUCGAGAGAUCUUGCGCCGAAAAUGUAACGGGGCUAAACUUACCACCGAAGCUACGGGCUUGAACUUAGUUCAAGCGGUAGGAGAGCGUCGUAACCGGGCUGAAGUCGUACCGUAAGGAGCGGUGGACUGGUUACGAGUGAGAAUGUUGGCAUCAGUAGCGAGAUGUGGGUGAGAAUCCCACAGGCCGAAAACCUAAGGUUUCCUCAGGAAGGUUCGUCCGCUGAGGGUUAGUCGGGACCUAAGCCGAGGCCGAAAGGCGUAGGUGAUGGACAACUGGUUGAUAUUCCAGUACCACUACCAUCGUUAUUAUCGAUGGCGUGACGCAGGAGGAUAGUGUGUGCUAGCUAUUGGAUGCUAGUCUAAGCGUUUAGGCAGUGAGAGUAGGCAAAUCCGCUCUCAUAAUGCUGAGGCGUGAUGGGGAAGGUUCCACGGAACCGAAGUACAUGAUUCCACGCUGCCAAGAAAAGCGUCUAGAGAGAGAAGUAGUGCCCGUACCGCAAACCGACACAGGUAGGUGAGGAGAGAAUCCUAAGGCCGGCGGAAGAAUUACAGUUAAGGAACUCGGCAAAUUGACCCCGUAAGUUCGCGAGAAGGGGUGCCUACGAGAGUAGGCCGCAGAGAAUAGGCCCAAGCAACUGUUUAGCAAAAACACAGGUCUCUGCUAAAGCGUAAGCUGAUGUAUAGGGGCUGACGCCUGCCCGGUGCUGGAAGGUUAAGGGGAACACUUAGCGCAAGCGAAGGUGUGAACUUAAGCCCCAGUAAACGGCGGCCGUAACUAUAACGGUCCUAAGGUAGCGAAAUUCCUUGUCAGGUAAGUUCUGACCCGCACGAAUGGCGUAAUGACUUGGGCACUGUCUCAACUGUAAAUCCGGCGAAGUUGUAGUGCGAGUGAAGAUGCUCGCUACCCGCGAUUGGACGGAAAGACCCCGUAGAGCUUUACUGUAGCUUAGCAUUGAGUUUUGGUAUUGUCUGUACAGGAUAGGUGGGAGACUAGGAAACCAGGGCGUCAGCCUUGGUGGAGUCAACCUUGGGAUACCACCCUGACAGUACUGAAAUUCUAACUGGCGGCCAUGAAUCUGGUCACAGGACAUUGUUAGGUGGGCAGUUUGACUGGGGCGGUCGCCUCCUAAAAAGUAACGGAGGCGCCCAAAGGUUCCCUCAGAACGGUCGGAAAUCGUUCGAAGAGUGCAAAGGCAGAAGGGAGCCUGACUGCGACACCCACAAGUGGAGCAGGGACGAAAGUCGGGCUUAGUGAUCCGGUGGUACCUCGUGGGAGGGCCAUCGCUCAACGGAUAAAAGCUACCUCGGGGAUAACAGGCUGAUCUCCCCCAAGAGUCCACAUCGACGGGGAGGUUUGGCACCUCGAUGUCGGCUCGUCGCAUCCUGGGGCUGAAGUAGGUCCCAAGGGUUGGGCUGUUCGCCCAUUAAAGCGGCACGCGAGCUGGGUUCAGAACGUCGUGAGACAGUUCGGUCCCUAUCCGUCGCGGGCGUAGGAAAUUUGAGAGGAGCUGUCCUUAGUACGAGAGGACCGGGAUGGACUGACCUCUGGUGUACCAGUUGUUCUGCCAGGAGCACAGCUGGGUAGCUAAGUCGGGAAUGGAUAAACGCUGAAAGCAUCUAAGCGUGAAGCCAACCUCAAGAUGAGAUUUCCCAUAGCGUAAGCUAGUAAGAUCCCUUGAAGAACACAAGGUUGAUAGGUCGGGGGUGUAAGCAUGGUAACAUGUUCAGCUGACCGAUACUAAUAGAUCGAGGGCUUGACCAA